UAAUUGAGAUUAUAGAGUUAUAUAAGCUCUUAUAAUUAAUCUUUAGCUACCGUUCGGUUCGGGGUUAAGGAAAAACUAGUUAUUCCAGGAAUUGGAUUAAGUUCAGGAUUGAGGUAGGGUUAGAGUAUUUUUGUGUUUGGUUGGGGGUUGGAGUUAGUCCAGAAUAGUGAAAAAUAGUGUUUGGUUAGAGUAGAUGAGAUAAGAAGGAUAGUGGGUUAUUAUAAAUAGAAAAUAGUGUUUGGUUGAGGUUUGAUGGGGUUAGGUGGGAUUAGCUAACUCAGGAUAGCAUAUUUGAGGUGGGGUUAGCUAACUCAGGAUAGCAUAUUUGAGGUGGGGUUAGCUAACCCCACCCAUUUUUGAAGACAUUUGGAGAUAAUAUGAGGGUUAAGAAAUUAAUCCACCUCUUAACCCCCAACCAAACAAAGGCAACUCGUUGUUUGAGGUUUAUUGUGAGAGCUUCAUUGUAGACACUCUAAUUGAGAGGAAAACGUAGAGAGCUCCUGAGAGAGAGAAUUUUUUGUAAUCCAAUCUUACUCCUUAUAUUUUUGUGUCGUGAAUUAAUUGAAGAACACAUGAGGUGAUCUUGUUUGUGGAUGUAUGUCUACUCAUCGUUGGCCGAACAACGUAAAUCUUGUAUUAUUGUAUUCUUUUGUUUUAUUUUAUUACGUUGUUAUUCUCGUGUUUAUUUUCUACGAUCGUUUUCCUCUAUAAAAGGUCAUAUUUUCGCUGUACUCAUAUGUUGUGUGGGUUUGAA
Molecule: long non-coding RNA, 754 nt
Filed under: Ananas comosus (pineapple)
Lineage: Eukaryota; Viridiplantae; Streptophyta; Magnoliopsida; Poales; Bromeliaceae
Description: long non-coding RNA (ACOM_LNC027502)
Source: RNAcentral